AACCCUUGCCUUUAGUUGCCAGCAGUUCGGCUGGGCACUCUAAAGGGACUGCCGGUGUUAAACCGGAGGAAGUGGGGAUGACGUCAAGUCCUCAUGGCCUUUAUGACCAGGGCUACACACGUACUACAAUGGCCGAUACAAAGGGCAGCGACACUGGCGAGGUGAAGCCAAUCCCGUAAAAUCGGUCUCAGUCCGGAUUGGAGUCUGCAACUCGACUCCAUGAAGUUGGAAUCGCUAGUAAUCGUGGAUCAGCAUGCCACGGUGAAUACGUUCCCGGGCCUU
This 282-nucleotide ribosomal RNA is filed under the name uncultured Desulfobulbus sp. Its description in RNAcentral is "partial 16S ribosomal RNA". It matches the Rfam family "Bacterial small subunit ribosomal RNA", at positions 1100 to 1382 of the family's 1533-position model. The record is from RNAcentral. Lineage: Bacteria; Pseudomonadati; Thermodesulfobacteriota; Desulfobulbia; Desulfobulbales; Desulfobulbaceae.